RNAcentral lists this ribosomal RNA (1296 nucleotides) under uncultured bacterium. RNAcentral describes it as "partial 16S ribosomal RNA". It matches the Rfam family "Bacterial small subunit ribosomal RNA", at positions 57 to 1349 of the family's 1533-position model. The record is from RNAcentral.
GCAGUCGAACGGCAGCAUGAUCUCGCUUGCUACAUUGAUGGCUAGUGGCGAACAGUUGAGUAAUACAUCCGAACGUGCCCUGUAGUGCGGGAUAACUAGUCGAAUGAUUACCUAAUACCGCAUACGACCUGAGGGUGAAAGUGGGGGACCGCGAGGCCUCAUGCUGUGGGAUCGGCCGAUGUCUGAUUAGCUAGUUGGUGAGGUACAGGCUCACCAAUGCGACGAUCAGUAGCUGGUCUGAGAGGACGAUCCGCCACAGUGGGACUGAUACACGGCCCAGACUCCUGCGGGAGGCAGCAUUGGGGAAUUUUGGACAAUGGGGGCAACCCUGAUCCAGCAAUGCCGCGUGUGUGACGAAGGCCUUCGGGUUGUAAAGCACUUUUGUCCGGAAGGAAAUCGCACUUACUNAUAUUAGGUGUGGAUGACGGUACCNGAAGAAUNAGGACCGGNUNANUACNUGCCAGCAGCCGCNGUAAUACNUAGGGUCCANGCNUUAAUCGGAAUUACUGGGCGUAAAGCGUGCNCAGGCGGUUGUGCAAGACNGAUGUGAAAUCCCNGGGCUUAACCUGGGAAUUGCAUUGGUGACUGCACGGCUAGAGUGUGUCANAGGGGGGUAGAAUUCCACGUGUAGCNNUGAAAUGCGUAGAGAUGUGNANGANUACCGAUGGNGAANGCAGCCCCCUGGGAUANCACUGACGCUCAUGCNCGAAAGCGUGNGGAGCAAACAGGAUUAGAUACNCUGGUAGUCNACGCCCUAAACGAUGUCAACUAGUUGUUGGGGAUUCAUUUCNUUAGUAAGGUAGCUAACGCGUGAAUGUUGACCGCCUGGGGAGUACGGUCGCAAGAUUAUAACUCAAAGGAAUUGACGGGGACCCGCACAAGCGGUGGAUGAUGUGGAUUAAUUCGAUGCAACGAGAAAAACCUUACCUACCCUUGACAUGCCACUAUCGAAGCAGAGAUGCAUUACGUGCUCGAAAGAGAAAGUACACACAGGUCAUGCAUGUCUUUAGUCAGCUUGUGUCGUGAGAUGUUGGGUUAAGUCAAGCAACGAGCGCAUCCCUUGUAUUUAGUUGCUUCGAAAGGGCACUUUAGAGAGACUGCCGGUGACAAACCGGAGGAAGGUGGGGAUGACGUCAAGUCCUCAUGGCCCUUAUGGGUAGGGCUUCACACGUCAUACAAUGGUGGAUACAGAGGGUUGCCAACCCGCGAGGUGGAGCUAAUCCCAGAAAACCCGUCGUAGUCCGGAUCGUAGUCUGCAACUCGACUGCGUAAGUCGGAAUCGCUAGAAUCGCGGAU